Molecule: ribosomal RNA, 50 nt
Filed under: Aplastodiscus cavicola (Cruz's treefrog)
Lineage: Eukaryota; Metazoa; Chordata; Amphibia; Anura; Hylidae
Description: partial 16S ribosomal RNA
Source: RNAcentral
GCCCCCAACUCAAUAAGGAAUUAACCUACCACCUGACUCAAUAAAAGAGU